GGCACGAAAUGCUACACGCGAGCCAGGAUACUUGGUAUACGACCUCGACUCCGGAUUUGUGUAGUCUAGAAGAAAUGGAUGGUAGUUUCUAUAAUGUGCACGACAAGAGGUAUUUUUUUGCGUACGUUUAUUGCGUCGCACCGUGUUUAUUAAUUGUCAGUUGUCGUUACACGAUAUGCGAGGAGAUUUGCGUUGCUUCAUGAUCAUUGUGUGCAUCAGUGCCAUGAGAUGUUAUUGCUUUUAUAUCUUUAUUAUACCUUGUUUUAUUUUUGUGCGGUCUUGUAAGAACGGACACAAUGAUUUCCUCAAUGAGUGCUGGUAUAUAUCGAGUUUAGUAGCAGAGUUUUCGGACUGUGUUAGAAAAUAGAAAUUCAAGAGAAACACCAGUGGUGUCUGACAGUGGAGUUUUAUGCAACAUGCCUUCUAUUUGCGGCGAUAUGGGUGACAUGGCUGCUGCUUCACAAUCAGGUAUCAUGGAAGGUAUUUCCAGUACAGACAGUAUUGGGACACAGAGUGACAUAUCAGGACACACCACCGUGACAGGAAGACCGAGAAUGGAUGUAGCUUGUGUAUUGGAUUUGCAACAACCAGAACAUCUUGCCCAGCGAAAGAGAGCGCUGGAUGAGGUUAGACAAGCCUGCAAUUUGGUCAAUGCUAACAUACAUCAUAUUCAGUUUGAGAAACUUGAUUUUGGCGAGACUAAUGUCUUGGAUACUUUCUAUAAUGCUGAUGUAGCAGUUGUAGAUUUAAGUAUCAAAUUGCAACAAUCUGCAUUAUUUUAUCACCUUGGAGUCAGGGAAAGUUUUGGCAUGAAGGAAAAUAUCUUGCUGUAUAAUGAUGUGGACACAGAGGCUACGAUUAGACUAAAGUUAUCUUGUGGCAGCUAUACAUUUGUCUCGUACCGUGUCGUGGAAUGUGGCUCAUGUGUGGCUACUAAUCCAGCAGCUAGCAGAAUCACAGGCGAAGAAGCGAUAGAUCCCAAACAGCAUCUCACUUUGAAACUCAAAAAACUGUUUCAAGAUGUGGAAAUACAAUCCAAAGCGCACAUGAAGGAAAAAUUCCUGGCAGAUUUGCGCAAAGCGCGUGAGACGUAUUCUGGAGAGGAGCUCUCCAGAGCUUUAAAUAAUAUGCGCAAACGUUUAGAUGAUCCAAAUGUUUUGUCAGGAGAAGUUGUUCUGAAUGUUCUUAUUUCAUUCCGAGAAAUACAGGGUUAUGACGCAAUGGUACAAUUGGUUGAUGAUUUGAGAACUAUACCAACUCAUAAGAAUUAUAUAAAUACUCCGGCUAUUAGAUAUUUAUAUGCAUUUGCUCUGAAUCGGCGAAAUAAAGAGGGUGAUCGAGAAAGAGCGUUAAAAGUUAUCGAGAAAGCAUUGGAGAAGAAAGAGAAUCAUGUUCCUGAUAUGUUGUGUUUAUGUGGCAGAAUAUACAAAGACAUAUUUGUAGAGAGUAGGCAUACAGAUCAGGAGAGUUUAAACAACGCGAUCCACUGGUACAGGAAAGGUUUUGAGGUCCAACCUAACGAAUACGCUGGUAUAAAUCUUGCUACUUUAUUGGUCAUAGCUGGUAAUGAAUUUUCCAAGAGUGAAGAAUUGCAACACAUAGGAAUGGUAUUGAACAAUUUAAUUGGCAAGAAAGGCAGUUUAUCGAGUUUAAAAGAUUACUGGGAUGUGGCAACAUUCUUUGAAAUCAGCGUACUGGCAGAAGAUUAUUCAAAGGCUAUACAAGCGGCUGAAUAUAUGUUUAAAUUGAAACCACCAAAUUGGUAUCUGAAAUCGACAAUAGGCAAUAUAUCACUGAUAGACAGAUUUCGUAAAAGGAACGAAGAAGCUGAAAUUUCACCAGAGGAGCAAAUAUUUAGUUUUUGGAUGGACUACUUUGUCGAAGCUACAAAGCCGGAGGUUGGCGACAGUAUACGGUUUCCAAUUCUAGUGUUGGAACCAACAAAGAUUUUGAUGCCAAGUUAUGUGAACGUGAACCUAGGCGCGGAGGAGAAAUCUAUACAAAUAUGGAAUUUGUGUUUGGAUAACAUGAAAAAUAACUGCAAGCAAGUUCAUGAUUGGCUGUUUACCGCAAAUAUGAUACGUAGCGUUAGCCUGUACAAAAGAGACGAGAGAUGCCUUUUCUUGUAUGUUCAUCAAAACUCGGACGAUUUUCAAAUGUACUUGCCGUCAGUGCAAUGUAGGCAACGAUUUUACGAUCUGAUCUUGGAAAUGACUAGAGAUCAGGAAGGCAUGGUUACAGAUUUAGAUGCCUACAUGACUGACGAUCGCAUGAAGUUUGAGUAUGAAUUGGAUGAUCAAAAUAAGCGCAUAAUUCUCGGUAAAGGCACGUAUGGUAUAGUAUAUGCAGCACGUGAUUUAAAUACUCAAGUUAGAAUUGCUGUAAAAGAAAUACGUGAGCGGAAUUUGGGAGAUGUGCAGCCUCUGCACGAAGAAAUUAAGCUACACAGUCAGUUGAGGCAUAGGAAUAUCGUUCAGUAUUUGGGUUCCGUAAGUGAGGAUGGAUAUUUCAAAAUUUUUAUGGAACAAGUGCCUGGAGGGAGCUUGUCAGCUUUGCUGAGAUCAAAGUGGGGUCCUUUAAAAGAAAAUGAAUCAACAAUUUCGUAUUAUACUAAACAAAUGUUGGAAGGUCUUAAAUACCUCCAUGAUCAAAAAAUAGUUCAUAGAGAUAUAAAAGGUGACAAUGUUUUAGUAAAUACGUAUAGUGGAGUUGUGAAAAUUUCUGAUUUUGGCAUGUCGAAACGUUUGGCUGGUCUAUGUCCGAGUACGGAAACAUUUACCGGAACACUACAGUAUAUGGCACCAGAAGUUAUUGACAAAGGUCAACGUGGCUACGGUGCGCCUGCGGACAUUUGGUCUUUGGGUUGCACCAUAGUUGAGAUGGCAACUGGCAAACCUCCAUUCAUUGAACUAGGUUCUGCACAAGCAGCUGUUUUUAAGGUGGGGUAUUAUAAAAUACAUCCUGAGAUACCAUCAGAAUUAUCAGAGAGAGCAAAAUCGUUUAUAUUGCGUUGUUUUGAACCAAAUCCAGAUAUAAGAGCGACUGCGGCAGAACUGUUGGAAGAUCCAUUUCUUAAUGAGAAAAAGAAAAGCAGCAGGUUGGCCGCACCACCAGACUUCAGCAGAAGUAUAUCAGUUCCUGCAGACAGAUUAGAACGUUUGGGGAAAUGUGACAAAACGAACAAUAAUCACAUAGUUGCUGCUGCACCUAUGCAGACAUCUCAGUCAGACGAUAGUGGAGGGUUGACGAAGUCAAGCCCAUUGAGGGAACGCAGUCCGGCCCAUCUAUUGUCUCCCAUCAGCAUGCCUACUGCAACCCUCUCUUUUAACAGUACAAUAGGCAAUACUCCAUCAAUAGAAACUAGUGAAAGUGAUGCAACGGGAGCCUCGAUAACUCGGAGAAGUUCGUCUGGUGGACUGUUAUCGCCGGAAGUGGAAUUAGGAGGACAGCCGGGACAAAAGUCUGGGGAAGAACAAGAAGGUUUUUAUUUAUUGAAAAAGGAUAGUCAAAGGCGUAUGACGUUAACGAGAGUUCUCAAUCAGGAUGAAGCAAAAAUCUGUGAAGUUUGGAUGAGAGGUAUACAUCAAGCGGAAGGACAAACUGUGUUGCAAAUGAGUCAUCUAGUGCUGCUUAUGCGCGGUUUAAGAGAUUAUAUCGCGGAGCAAAAUCAAGAUGUGAUAGUGACUUCUAUUCGAACACUAAAAGAGGAGUUGGAUUUCGAUUCGACAGCUAUUAAUCACCUGCACCUGGCUAUUUACUUGUUUCAAACAGCGGUAAACGAAGUCCUCAGAAUGCAUAGCAUAAAGCCACAUUGGAUGUUCGCCUUGGAUAACUUGGUGAGGAACGCUGUUCAAGCUGCCAUCACAGUGUUAUCACCCGAAUUAGGAGCUAAUUUAUUGGGACAAGAACGGGUGCAACCUGGUGGGCAAGUCCCCGAGGAAGGCUCCACGUCGGGUGUAUCGACGGUAAACUCUGUAAAAUCUCCGAAAACUGGCGAUUCUAUCGAUAAUAAGUACUGGAAGGAGUACAGGGAUCAAAUGGGAGCACUAAAGAUGGAAAAUAUGCGGUUACUUCAGGAAUUGAUAGAGAGCCAAAAGUCGUAUCAAUCAUUGCUGCAACAAGUUCUGGAAGAACAGAGAGUUCAAGUUGGUACAUUAACGCAUCUGUGCGAAAAUAUCAAUAGGAAAGCAGGGAGACAGGAAAUAGGAUGUAAUUUACAGCAGUUACGAUACGUGCGAUUCCGGAAACGUAUCUCAACAACCGGAGAGGUUAACAACUACGGACAUACGUAACAGUAAUAAUACACAUCCUGAUACAGCUCUCAUCGAUUGGUUACGAAAUCUGCAGAUAGACGAGGCAUCAAUCGACAGGUUCCUAUAUGAGGAAUAUGUAUUGGAAGAUAUUUUGGAUCAUAUUACACGGGACGAUCUCCGCAGAUUGAAUUUGAGGGGAGGAAUUGAAAUCAGGAUAUGGCAAGCUAUACUGAGACAUCGGGAGAAUAAUGGGAAUUAAAUUGUGUAGAUUACAGUCACAAUCUUCCGUCGAUGUUAACGGCAAGCUGUUACUAAUUGUUAAUAGUCGAGAUUUAAAGCAGGGUAAGAUAUUCGUCGCCAUAAUAAACCGCCACAAAAGAUAAAAAUGUAAUGAUCUAAAUCGAUCAUAUCGUAAUAUUAAGCAUAUAAAUUAGGCCUCUAUAGAGAGUUUCUUCCGUGACACAGUAUAACACACCGAUUCUCUUUAUAGUUCCUACGUGUAGGUUAAUAUUGUUUUUUAUAGAGGAAUUCUAUAUAUAUAACACAAAUCUGUGAAUGAUGAUUUAUAUUAACGAAACGUAUUAUAUCCUUUACUGUUUUUGUCACAGAUUUUAAUUAUUUUGCCAAAGUUCCAUGAUAUCAGGAUGUAAAAAGACCAAUAUUUAUAUGUAUGAAAUGGAUUUCAUGCAUGUCACAUUGUACCGUUGUAAAAAGAUUCUCAGUUCGAAUUUCGAAAUUUGAUUUUUACAAAUUUAAAUAUUACUGCAUCACGUUGUGGAUGAAUACUGCAUUACUGCAUUACAGUAUCGAUAAAACGGUCAAAUAAAUAAUAAAGAAGUCAUACAUGCAACUUGUCAAUAACGCAAUAAUAUUUGAUAUUAUGCUUUAUUUUAAAACAUUGAUGUCCCAAAGGAAAAAAAAACAAAUGCUUCCGGAUAAUUGCUCCAAUUGACACAAAUAAUAGAUCACUUUACGAGAUAUAUAUUUACUGCACUAAAUAAUACGUAUAAAUGGAACUAUUUAUGAAAGAAGAGAAAAGAACUGUAGGAUUGCAUUAGAUAAACUGUCAGUGAAAAAUUUUGAUUAAAAUGGAUUGAUUAAAAUGCGUGUUUUCAUGCAAAAUUUCUAAAUACUACAAAUACUAAAUAUAGAAAAAUUGUUAUAUAACGUUUAAUCUCUACACAUCUUCACAAAUGGGGACGCAAUUAUUUAUAGUGCCUUAUCAAACUGGCUCUAGUACAAGAAAAGAUAUUUAUUAUAUAGAAUUAAUAUGUAUUUAUACUUAUAUAUUCUCGACGAUGCAAAACAUUUUCCGUCGAAAUUUUAUGUUCGAGAGGAAUGAUAAUUUACUUGUCCACGCCACAACAACAGGCAUGUCUUCCCAGUAUAGAGAUAUUAAUCGAAUGUUUUCGUUGUAAAUAGUGUUCUUUUUAUAGUUUAUAAACGCUUUACAUUCUUUCGUUUUUUGCCGGACGAUUUCGAUUAGAUGCAGCGUUUCUUCCAGAUUUUGUAGAUACGACUUUUUAUAUAUACAGCAAAUCUCUCUUCUAUGCGAUAUUGUAAAGGAAGGAAAAGAUCGAUAUUUUCUCUGCGAUGCACAAUAUAUAUACAGUUUGUACAGUUUGAUUUUUAAUAUGUUUUAUGUGCAAUCGAACUGAAUUUGCGCAAUUAUUUGAUCCUAAAUGCUCUCGGCUAAUUGUUUUCUAGAAAUCAAUGUCAUUAUUGUCAUUGAAGUUAUUGUCUCAGUAAUAUAUUUGCUCGAUGCAGUUCGACUAUUCACACACUAACAUAGAAUUACAUGAUCUAAUGACUGACAAGAAUUAAUUUGAUAAAAGAUAUUUUCAUGUAAUACUAAUAUAUUAAAUAACAGAGCCUAUUGUAAUUGUUCGUGUAUUGGUGCUUGUUCUCGAGUAUUUUGACUGAAGCAAUCCUGCAAAUCUGUGCAUAAAUCUGUUUACAACUAUCGAGGAAAUAAACUUUGGAACAAGUAGCCAAUGUUAUUGUUGAAUAUUUUUCACUCACCUUUAAAGCAGAAUUAAUUAUUGUUGCUCGCAUAUGCGAUCGUUUGUAAUAAAGGUAUGAACAAA
This 6340-nucleotide unclassified non-coding RNA is filed under the name Harpegnathos saltator (Jerdon's jumping ant). RNAcentral describes it as "mitogen-activated protein kinase kinase kinase 15, transcript variant X2". The record is from RNAcentral. Lineage: Eukaryota; Metazoa; Arthropoda; Insecta; Hymenoptera; Formicidae.